AACGAACGCUGGCGGCAGGCCUAACACAUGCAAGUCGAGCGCGUCCCUUCGGGGGCGAGCGGCGCACGGGUGAGUAACGCGUGGGAACCUACCCUGGGGUAGGGAUAACCGCUGGAAACGGCGGCUAAUACCCCAUACGUCCUGAGGGAGAAAGAUUUAUCGCCCUGGGAUGGGCCCGCGUCGGAUUAGCUAGUUGGUGGGGUAACGGCUCACCAAGGCGACGAUCCGUAGCUGGUCUGAGAGGAUGAUCAGCCACACUGGGACUGAGACACGGCCCAG
RNAcentral lists this ribosomal RNA (279 nucleotides) under uncultured bacterium. RNAcentral describes it as "partial 16S ribosomal RNA". It matches the Rfam family "Bacterial small subunit ribosomal RNA", at positions 29 to 334 of the family's 1533-position model. The record is from RNAcentral.